Molecule: transfer RNA, 72 nt
Filed under: Bos taurus (domestic cattle)
Lineage: Eukaryota; Metazoa; Chordata; Mammalia; Artiodactyla; Bovidae
Also listed under: 5 other names
Rfam family: tRNA
About the family: Transfer RNA (tRNA) molecules are approximately 80 nucleotides in length.
Source: Rfam by way of RNAcentral
UCCCUGUUGGCUCAGUUGGUAAAGUGUCUGCCUGCAAUACUGAUGACCCAGGUUCAAUCCCUGGGUAGGGAA